CCCGUCACACAGCUCGGCGGCCCCUCUAUCAUUGUUGGAUGGUUUAUUCCCGGGGAAUAUGCUCUCACUCCGCUGGCAUCAUCCGCAGCAUAUAUCCUCAGUCUCGCGUCUUCCACCUCUGAUCAGAUAGGCGCAGACAGCAACGCCUUCUUGCUUCUCUCUCUAAGCAGCAGCUUCCUGCUGUCUCCCCAGGUACCAUUCCAUUUGUUCCUUGCUAAUGGUGAGGGCGUGACCGCGUGAGGGUGGCUAUCUACCUAAUGCAGCUCCGAACCUGUUUUGUUGGUGGUCAUUUAACCAUGCUUCCAUCGACGAUGGGGGUGCAUGGAUUAUUAUGGCACCGAGUGUGAUGCCAUGAACCCAUCAUGGUCAUGCAUGCUGUGUGCAUGGUUAGAUGACCAUCAGCAAACAUGUUCAUGAGGCAUGCAAGCAGGAGAUCGAUCACCACCACGCCAUGGCUAUUCCCAAUGGAGGUUUGCACUUCUCCGAUCCGGAUGUCAUGCUUCUGCCUCCGUUGUUGAUCCCGGAUCUUUCGGUCUUCUUACCAGCAUUACUUUCCUUCAGAAACUGGGGAACGGUUUCAAUCUUUGUUUGUUUUGUGCGCAUGUGGCGUGUGUUUCAUGGAGAUCCGUUCACUUCUAUUUUCGCUUGCAUCCCCUUCGCUAAAGUCCGUUGAAAUUGUCCGUCUUCGUCCUCUCGCCGACCAGUUAGAUCGUCUGUUUCCAACAACUGUCCCAAUGAGUCAUUUGAUUCGCCUACAGACUACAGGAUCUGACGACGAAGUGACCAUGAAUAUAAUCAUAUGCCUCAUGGUAUUUGUUACAGGUCCUCUACCUUGGUCAAGUAAAGGUCGAUCGGGCGUGUGGCUAUGCUCAUUCUCUGGCGAUGCAGAUGCAGUAUGUAUCAAUCGUGUUCAAUCAGCUUGCAAGGUUACAGCAGUAACUGAAGUAGUUUAAACAAUGUGAAACCGGAAUGCUACUUUUCUUUCGUAUGUAAGCUUUUCUCGAUCAAUAGUAGACUUGCAACCCAUUCAAUCGGCUCUUACCCAUCUUAUUUAGGCCUUGUUUACUUCCUCACCUAAAAAGUUUUCACUCAUUCCAUAAAAAAUUUAGACAUAUAUCAAAUAUAGAUAAAAAAAUAAACUAAUUACAUAGUUCACGAGACGAAACUUUUAAGUCUAAUUAAUCUAUGAUUAGCCUUAAGUGCUACAGUAACCUACAUAUGCUAAUGAUAGAUUAAUUAGGUUUAAUAAGUUAGUCUCGCAGUUUCCGGACAAGUUAUGUAAUUAGUUUUUUUAUUAGUAUCCGAAUACCUCUUCUGACAUCCUACGAAACAUCUGAUGUGUGACACCAAAAAUAUUUUACUCUCCAACUAAACAAGGCCUUAGAUAGAGUAUGGGUAAAAUUUUUAUUCAAUACAAAUAAGUACGGUAAGGUAUGUAGAAUGGAUUAUCCGUGGUAAGUCUUUGUCUUAAUUAAAUAAUCGAUUAAAAGAAAUAGGUGGAUCAGAUAAUAUAAGUUUAUUUUAAUUUUGGCUUUCUAAUGUGAGAUCAGAUAAUAUGGAAAUGGGCUUUGCCAAUUUGUUGGAGGUGAUUCUGGACCCAUAAUAGCCGAAUAUGGUUUUACGAGGCAUUUUAUCUAAGUCUGUUUGUUAGAGCUUCACUUCUCGAUUCUUAACUCUAACUCCUUGAUUCCUUGAAAGUGUGAUUGUAGUUGAUUCUAGUGACGGAGCAAGCGAGAAUUGAUUCUAUAGUGGAUUUAGGUGAAAAUUAAAUAGGAACCUAUGAGAAAAAUAUCUUUUUAAGGUGAUUUUUUAACCACAUUUAUCUCAUGAUGAACAUGUAGUUAAAGAUAAUCAUUGAACAUCACAAAAUAUAAUAUAAAAUAUCAUAUGCAUACUACGUGAACAUCACAAAAUAUCAUGAAAUACAAAAUAAAACAAUAAAAUUAGCAAAGUAAUUAAUUAGAGUCAAAUAAAAAGAAGAAAAAAUGCUAGUGAACAUUAUAAAAUAUAUCCUAGAACAUCGGUGUAUACUGAACAUCACAAAAGCAUCGUAGAAUAUCACAUUUGUACCCACGAACACACAAAAAUAGCAUAAAACAUCAUAUGUAUAUUAUGUGAACAUCACAUGUAUCUUGAAGUGUAAAAAAUAAAAAUAGUGAAUUAGUUAAUUAGAGUCAAAUAACACAUAAGAAAAGAUAUAAAAUCUAUACCUAAUACUAAAGAGGCAAAAUUUCAGCUUUUUUGUCUUGAAAUUUUUUGGUCUCAUCUCCCUUGCUAAUUAUAUCAUAUUUAUAAGCUAAAGAUGCAAGCAGAUGUGGACCGUCCUGCCAGCCAACUCAGUCCUCCACAAAAAUAGGCCUUAUGGACACUGCAGGCCUACUUCAAGUGACGCGGGCCUAAACAGCCAAACGUGCAAAAGUUCAAGAGACUAAAACAGACACCUGCAUUAGCACGUAAGGCUGUUGCCUUCAUCCAUGGGAGCACCGGCGCCGCAUCUGCCGCACGAGCAGACUCUGCUCGAGCGCCACGUCCGUAGCGGCGACGCUAGGGAAGCGUCAGUCAACUGCUUCACCACCAUGGCCGCCACCCUACCUCUAGGAGGACGUCUCCAGUCCGCCCCAAUGCCCGAUGUUGGCUCCCCAUCCAACUCCUCUCGGCCCCAAGCCCGGCCCAUUCUGUAGCAGGAGGGCAACACAACCCAGAUCCAUCUGACGCCCGCACCUUCAGGUUGCCAUCGCUCGUCGGCGUCGUGCCCCCAUGGUAAGAUAAGAUUGGUGCGUCGUGCCGUAAUUUGGAGGCGCCUGCCAUGGCACCUGCUAGCUACCAGCAUGCAUCUCUCUCGUUGUUUGUAGCAAAAAAACUGGAAGAUACAUGCAGACACCUGCAGAUGUCUGCUUGUUUUGCCGCAAAGCCCAACAGAACGUUGAAGGAACUAGUGUGGGCAUUAGCAGACUCUGCAGGUGUAGUAAAAAAAUUAGGGCCGAUGAUGCGGUGGCCCGCAGGCACUCUAUAGAGCGGCCCGCUUGCAUCAUUAUUAGAAGCAUGAUUACGGAACUCUGUUGGAGCUUGGGGAGAGAUUGAACAUGUGGGCAAGGAGAGACCAGGCUAGUCUUAAAAGAGUACGGCUCCAUUCCAUCGAUGUGCUGAACGAUGUGCUGAACGGGUGCAGUUCUAAGCCCAUCACAUUUCCCUGAGCCGUGUGAGCCGCCUCGUGAUACAUAUAACUAUCGGUAAUACUUUGACACAGACAUUCGGCCGAUUCCGGACAUGGCGCCAGCUCACCCAGAUCCCUCACCGCUCGCUCCUAUCUAUAUGUGGCUCUUCUCCUCCACCCAUAUCAAAAUAUCUCUGCCUUUUACUACUUGCUUUCUCAUCCUCUCUCUCUCCUCCUCAAAAAUCAACCGCAGUCUUCCUCUACCCAACCCGCUCAGAAGACAUUAACAUGUGCGCCGCGCUCCCCCAUCUCUCUCUUCAGCCGGAGCUCGAGCACGCAGUAGAGGAUCCAUGGAGGCGGCGUCCUCUACCCAUCCUUAGCCCGACGGGCCUCCUCCACCCUGGCGCGUCGUCCCCCACCUCGACGACGGCCAUGGUGGCCUUCCCGUGGUGGAUCCAUAGAGCACCAGUUUUUCUAUGAUGGAUCCAUGAGCGUUGGCCUUCCUAUGGUGGAUCCAUGGAGCACAACGUAGAUCCAGCAAUGUGGUGGUCUCCACCUAGCAGGUGACGACAGCCCAUCCCUCAUCCCAUCCAUGGAGGGCGACUCAUUCUGCACCCUGACGGCGCCUCCAACCCAUGUCCCUCCCCUCUUUUCUGUAUCUUGCGUCCGUAGUAGAUUUUACGGUGUUGCAACAGUCUAUUUGAGAUGUUUCAGUUGUUGUACUUUUAUUGUUGCAAUAAUAUGUUUCUUUGUGUUUCAACUUUUUUUAUCUCAAUGUUGCAGUAGUACUGCUUUUUUUGAGAUGUUGAAGUACGUUUCAGUUACUUCAAUCUCAUAUUGUAGUAGUUGUUUUAUGUUGUUGCAAUAAUUUAUUCGGUGGUUGCAAUAACAUAUUCACGAUGUUUAACUGGUUCAACUUAUUUGUUGCAACAGUUUAUUUGGUGUUGUUAUAAUAAGAUGUUCAUGGUGUUUCAA
This is a long non-coding RNA of Sorghum bicolor (sorghum), 4129 nucleotides long. RefSeq lists it as uncharacterized. NCBI's taxonomy places the organism in Eukaryota, Viridiplantae, Streptophyta, Magnoliopsida, Poales, Poaceae. The record is from RefSeq and is a predicted model, not a curated record. The transcript is spliced from 2 exons.